This 253-nucleotide ribosomal RNA is filed under the name uncultured bacterium. RNAcentral's name for it is "partial 16S ribosomal RNA". It matches the Rfam family "Bacterial small subunit ribosomal RNA", at positions 524 to 776 of the family's 1533-position model. The record is from RNAcentral.
UACGUAGGGGGCAAGCGAUACUCGGAAUCACUAGGCGUAAAGCGCAGGUAGGAGGUUUAGUAAGUCUGUUGUGAAAGCUCCCGGCUUAACUGGGAGAGGUCAACGGAAACUGCUAGGCUAGAGUGCGGUAGAGGUAGCUGGAAUUCCCGGUGUAGCGGUGAAAUGCGUAGAUAUCGGGAGGAAUACCUAUGGCGAAAGCAGGCUACUGGACCGUCACUGACUCUGAUGAGCGAAAGCCAGGGGAGCAAACGGG